RNAcentral lists this ribosomal RNA (440 nucleotides) under uncultured Janthinobacterium sp. RNAcentral describes it as "bacterial SSU rRNA". It matches the Rfam family "Bacterial small subunit ribosomal RNA", at positions 358 to 790 of the family's 1533-position model. Lineage: Bacteria; Pseudomonadati; Pseudomonadota; Betaproteobacteria; Burkholderiales; Oxalobacteraceae. The record is from RNAcentral.
GGAAUUUUGGACAAUGGGCGCAAGCCUGAUCCAGCAAUGCCGCGUGAGUGAAGAAGGCCUUCGGGUUGUAAAGCUCUUUUGUCAGGGAAGAAACGGUGAGAGCUAAUAUCUUUUGCUAAUGACGGUACCUGAAGAAUAAGCACCGGCUAACUACGUGCCAGCAGCCGCGGUAAUACGUAGGGUGCAAGCGUUAAUCGGAAUUACUGGGCGUAAAGCGUGCGCAGGCGGUUUUGUAAGUCUGAUGUGAAAUCCCCGGGCUCAACCUGGGAAUUGCAUUGGAGACUGCAAGGCUAGAAUCUGGCAGAGGGGGGUAGAAUUCCACGUGUAGCAGUGAAAUGCGUAGAUAUGUGGAGGAACACCGAUGGCGAAGGCAGCCCCCUGGGUCAAGAUUGACGCUCAUGCACGAAAGCGUGGGGAGCAAACAGGAUUAGAUACCCUGG